RNAcentral lists this small RNA (1618 nucleotides) under Caenorhabditis elegans. RNAcentral's name for it is "Unclassified non-coding RNA C18A11.14". Lineage: Eukaryota; Metazoa; Nematoda; Chromadorea; Rhabditida; Rhabditidae. The record is from RNAcentral.
GGGUCCCACCAGAAAUGCAGGUUGAAGCAAAUUCUGAGAGAAGAGUGAAAAUAUUGGGGAUUGAUAGGAGCGAAAACAGUCCAGUCUUAACGUAAGUUACAGUACAUCAAUUAUAAAAAAGAAAAAUAAAAAUUUCAGUUACAUGGAAACAGAAGAUGACCCUAAUUUUCGGAAUUCAAAAUUGGCUGCAGCCCCUCACACAGUGCACAUGAUGGAUUCGGGAUUCUUGGUAAUUGUUAUCUCAGUAGAUGAAUUUCUCAUUUGAAAUUAUAGGCAAUCAACAGACAAUGCCUUGUCAAAGGGAAAGCUAUUCUUGCACGAGAGCCAAAAAGUUCCAACGAACACAUGAUUGAUGAUUUACCGAAGCAUGCACAUGAUCAGCACACUCUUUCCAUUCUGCGAGAUUUCAUCGAUCAACUGAAACUUCACAACGUCUACGAGAUCAACUUCUACGAUCCGGUUAGUUAUCAGGAUUUUUUAGAUACUGAACGAUCAAAAUAAAUUGAACACAAUACUUGACAGCUGACAUCUUAGGCUUUAAUAAUCUGUAAUUUGGUUUCAGCAAAAAAUUCCUCGUGAGUCUGAAAAUUUUCAUUUCAAAAUUAAGUGCUGAGUGUUAACCAAUAAAUACACUGAAUUUAGUGCUAAAUUUCCAGAUGAAAAUUUGGAUGUUCUGCCUGAAGAUAACAAAUUCUGAAAGCCGAAAAUGUCAGCUGCCAAAUAUUUUGAUCAAAUAAUUUUGAUUUCUCCGUAAAGUUAGAACAUUUUCCAAUAAGUUUAUAAUAUAGUGGUUUUACAAGUUUGGUGCUCAAUCCCCAACCCCCCCCCCCCCCCCCCAAUCGCCAGAAAUCGCUAGAAUACGCGUUGCCAAUUAUCCUUCAAUUCUAAUAGCAUUAAUUAAAGAAAAAUUUCAGUUGGACUCUAGUGGCAAACUUGCCGUCAUCCCAAUGCUUAUUGCUUUAUGGAAAUGCAUGCUUGCCUCAGAAACUGAUAUAUGUAAGCACUCUCACUAUAAAAUCUAUUUUUUAAUAAGUGAUUUCAGGCGAUCAAGAAGUAUUAAAGUCGAUUAUGAACUCUGUAAUCGCCAAGUUCGAGCUGCAAAUUCCAUGCAAAAAUGCAGUGAUUGAUGCUACUCUUUCUGGAAGUCGAGAAGAAGUGCACAUUAUUGCAGAAGACGGAAGUUUAGAAAACUCAAAGUAAGAAAACAUGAAAAUAAACUUACCAAAACAAGUUUUUUUUUAGCGGGACAACGGAGCAUUUCAACAAAAAACACGACCUCGUAUUUGUGAAAACGGAUUUGCACCCAGAAGAUUUCACACCACAAAUGUUUCCCUCUCAAGCUAAAGCUAAGCUUCUUCGAGAUGCGUUCAACAAUGAGGAAGACGAGGAUACGUUUCCCGAUAUUCUAGUUCCAGCAUAUAUGACGGCUCAUUCCAAGAACCGUGUGCGACAAGAAGAUUAUACUUGUCUUGAAGUAGAGUUUGAUAGCCAAGUUGCUCUUGAAAAACUAAUGAACGAACAUGAGCAAGUAGAAGGUUUCGAAGUUCAACAAGGAGGAAUCUUAGUGGCGUUGAAGAAAGACUCAUUUUUCGACGACGAGCUGAUUGAAAAAAUUGCU